This 70-nucleotide transfer RNA is filed under the name Ictidomys tridecemlineatus (thirteen-lined ground squirrel). RNAcentral describes it as "Spermophilus tridecemlineatus (thirteen-lined ground squirrel) tRNA". It matches the Rfam family "tRNA". Rfam says of the family: Transfer RNA (tRNA) molecules are approximately 80 nucleotides in length. Their secondary structure includes four short double-helical elements and three loops (D, anti-codon, and T loops). The record is from Rfam by way of RNAcentral. Lineage: Eukaryota; Metazoa; Chordata; Mammalia; Rodentia; Sciuridae.
GAGGUUAUGGCUCAGUGGUAGAGCGCUUGCCUAGUGUGCACAAGGCAUGGGUUCAAUUCUCAUAACCACA